UCAUCUGGCUUACUAGCAUUCAUGUCCCCCAGAGGAAGGCCACCGCCAUUUGGUGACUUUCGCAUAGCUCGUGGUAAUUUCAUCCAACGAUCUGUCUCAAUUACACUUUUCUCUACUUUUGGAGCAAGCGGCGCAUUUUCAGAAUUAUCUGACUGUGAGAAAGGUGGAGUAUCAGGAACAACAACGUUUGUGGUGAGCACUGGGACUGGGACUGUGGACUUAUUUCUCUUCUUCGCCCAUUUCCUUCUUUGAUUAGCAUUCUGAGCAUUUGAUUUAGCCUGCUAAAACAAACAGAUCAUCUUAGACCCAGCACAAGCACAAGACUAAACACAACAUGGGAAGACAGAGAGAGGUUUGAUUAGAUCAUUUAUUUAGGGACUUCCCUUUUCAAAGAAUGACUGACACGCACCAGUGUAUUUCCAAUAUCUGAAAGAGGCUUUCUUGGCCCAUGAUCACUGUGCACCUCAGCAGGCCCCUCAAC
Long non-coding RNA from Glycine soja, 481 nucleotides. RefSeq lists it as uncharacterized. NCBI's taxonomy places the organism in Eukaryota, Viridiplantae, Streptophyta, Magnoliopsida, Fabales, Fabaceae. The transcript is spliced from 3 exons. The record is from RefSeq and is a predicted model, not a curated record.